UCCAGACUCCUACGGGAGGCAGCAGUGGGGAAUAUUGGGCAAUGGGCGCAAGCCUGACCCAGCAACGCCGCGUGAAGGAAGAAGGCUUUCGGGUUGUAAACUUCUUUUCUCGGGGACGAAGGAAGUGACGGUACCUGAGGAAUAAGCCACGGCUAACUACGUGCCAGCAGCCGCGGUAAUACGUAGGUGGCAAGCGUUAUCCGGAUUUAUUGGGUGUAAAGGGCGUGUAGGCGGGAGCGCAAGUCAGAUGUGAAAUCCACGGGCUCAACCCGUGAACUGCAUUUGAAACUGUCAGGCUGGAGUGCAGGAGAGGUAAGUGGAAUUCCUAGUGUAGCGGUGAAAUGCGUAGAUAUUAGGAGGAACACCAGUGGCGAAGGCGGCUUACUGGACUGUAACUGACGUUGAGGCUCGAAAGCGUGGGGAGCAAACAGGAUUAGAUACCCUAGUAUG
This 450-nucleotide ribosomal RNA is filed under the name uncultured bacterium. RNAcentral describes it as "bacterial SSU rRNA". It matches the Rfam family "Bacterial small subunit ribosomal RNA", at positions 330 to 793 of the family's 1533-position model. The record is from RNAcentral.